UACGGAGGGUACGAACGUUAAUCGGAAUUACUGGGCGUAAAGCGCACGUAGGCGGUUCGUUAAGUGGGAUGUGAAAUCCCCGGGCUCAACCUGGGAACUGCAUUUCAAACUGGCGAACUAGAGUCUGGUAGAGGGGGGUGGAAUUUCCUGUGUAGCGGUGAAAUGCGUAGAUAUAGGAAGGAACAUCAGUGGCGAAGGCGGCCCCCUGGACUAAGACUGACGCUGAGGUGCGAAAGCGUGGGGAGCAAACAGG
Molecule: ribosomal RNA, 253 nt
Filed under: uncultured bacterium
Lineage: Bacteria
Description: partial 16S ribosomal RNA
Rfam family: Bacterial small subunit ribosomal RNA
Source: RNAcentral